This 719-nucleotide non-coding RNA is filed under the name Dipodomys ordii (Ord's kangaroo rat). Its description in RNAcentral is "Bacterial large subunit ribosomal RNA". It matches the Rfam family "Bacterial large subunit ribosomal RNA", at positions 1907 to 2873 of the family's 2925-position model. Lineage: Eukaryota; Metazoa; Chordata; Mammalia; Rodentia; Heteromyidae. The record is from Rfam by way of RNAcentral.
GCCCAGUGACGCAAGUAAACGGCCGCGGUAUCCUGACCGUGCAAAGGUAGCAUAAUAAUUUGUUCUUAAUUAGGGACUGUAUGAAUGGCAUCACGAGGGUUUAACUGUCUCUUACAUUCGAUCAAUGAAAUUGACCUUUCCGUGAAGAGGCGGAAAUAACACAAUAAGACGAGAAGACCCUAUGGAGCUUAAAUUAAUAUUCCAACUUAAACAACUUCAAAUCUAAUCGAUGUAAAAUCUGCAACCACUGGAAUAAACAUUUUGGUUGGGGUGACCUCGGAGCAUAAAAAAACCUCCGAAGGACUAACAUUAAGACCAACUAGUCCAAAUUAUAAAUGUCCAAAUAUUGACCCAGAAAUAAUUCUGAUCAAUGAACCAAGUUACCCUAGGGAUAACAGCGCAAUCUUGUUAAAGAGUUCAUAUCGACAAUAAGGUUUACGACCUCGAUGUUGGAUCAGGACAUCCCAAUGGUGCAGCAGCUAUUAAAGGUUCGUUUGUUCAACGAUUAAAGUCCUACGUGAUCUGAGUUCAGACCGGAGCAAUCCAGGUCGGUUUCUAUCUAUUUACCUAUUUCUCCUAGUACGAAAGGACCAGAGAAAUGAGGCCAACUUUACAAAAGCGCCUUAAUACUUAAUAAAUGAUAUUAUAUCAACUUACAAAGUAACUUAACUCACUCAAUUACAUCCCGACAUUAGGGAUUGUUAAGAUGGCAGAGCCAG